Molecule: ribosomal RNA, 496 nt
Filed under: uncultured bacterium
Lineage: Bacteria
Description: partial 16S ribosomal RNA
Rfam family: Bacterial small subunit ribosomal RNA
Source: RNAcentral
GAUGAACGCUGGCGGCGUGCCUAAUACACGCAAGUCGAGCGAACGGACGAGAAGCUUGCUUCUCUGAUGUUAGCGGCGGACGGGUGAGUAACACGUGGAUAACCUACCUAUAAGACUGGGAUACUUCGGGAAACCGGAGCUAAUUCCGGAUAAUAUUUUGAACCGCAUGGUUUAAAAGUUAAAGACGGUCUUGCUGUUACUUAUUGAUGGAUCCGCGCUGCAUUAGCUAGUUGGUAAGGUAACGGCUUACCAAGGCAACGAUGCAUAGCCGACCUGAGAGGGUGAUCGGCCACACUGGAACUGAGACACGGUCCAGACUCCUACGGGAGGCAGCAGUAGGGAAUCUUCCGCAAUGGGCGAAAGCCUGACGGAGCAACGCCGCGUGAGUGAUGAAGGUCUUCGGAUCGUAAAACUCUGUUAUUAGGGAAGAACAUAUGUGUAAGUAACUGUGCACAUCUUGACGGUACCUAAUCAGAAAGCCACGGCUGACUACGUG